Cucumis melo (muskmelon) is the source of this 101-nucleotide non-coding RNA. NCBI's taxonomy places the organism in Eukaryota, Viridiplantae, Streptophyta, Magnoliopsida, Cucurbitales, Cucurbitaceae. The record is from Rfam.
UUUGGAACGAGAUGUUGGUCCGGUUCAAUAAGAAAGUAGUGCUCUGUUUAACUUGGGUUCUUCUUUUUUUAUUGAGCCGUGCCAAUAUCACGUGUUGUAUU